ACCAGGUUAAACGUUAUCAAUCGGCAAAUCAAGCCAUUUAAACUGUACUUUGAAAAUGAUUGAAAUAUAUGAAAUAAUUCACUAAAAAUCUUGAUAAAAACUAGGGGGGGGUCUCAACACUCGCAGGUGCGUGUAGCUCACAGCUUGAUGAUAUGAGGGAAAGUAAAUGUGUUUUAUAAAUCACAAGUCUACUACCAAUAAUUAUGCACACUUUUUAGAAUUUCGUAAAUUUUUCGUUUUUGUACCUUUUCGCAUGGACUGGCUCAUAUAAUAUCUUUUAC
Molecule: long non-coding RNA, 281 nt
Filed under: Mytilus galloprovincialis (Mediterranean mussel)
Lineage: Eukaryota; Metazoa; Mollusca; Bivalvia; Mytilida; Mytilidae
Source: RNAcentral